GGGGAAGGCUCGUCCUCCCAGGGUAAGUCGGGACCUAAGCCGAGGCCGAGAGGCGUAGGCGAUGGAUAACAGGUUGAGAUUCCUGUACCAGUUAACUGCGUUUGACGAUGGAGGGACGUAGGAGGCUAAGCAAACCGUACGAUUGGAAGAGUACGGCCAAGCAGUAAGUCAGGAUGUGAGUCAAAUGUUUACAUCCGUGUUGACAAGCUGUGAUGGGGAGCGAAAUUUAAGUAGCGA
The sequence is a ribosomal RNA, 237 nucleotides long. It matches the Rfam family "Bacterial large subunit ribosomal RNA", at positions 1357 to 1588 of the family's 2925-position model.